CCUACGGGUGGCAGCAGUAGGGAAUCUUUCACAAUGGGCGAAAGCCUGAUGGAGCAACGCCGCGUGCAGGAUGAAGGCCUUCGGGUUGUAAACUGCUUUUAUAAGCGAGAAAUAUGAUGGUAACUUAUGAAUAAGGAUCGGCUAACUACGUGCCAGCAGCCGCGGUCAUACGUAGGAUCCGAGCAUUAUCCGGAGUGACUGGGUGUAAAGAGUUGCGUAGGUGGCAUAAUAAGUAGCGAGUGAAAUCUGGUGGCUCAACCAUUCAGACUAUUAGCUAAACUGUUAAGCUCGAGACCGUAAGGGGUAACUGGAAUUUAUGGUGUAGGAGUGAAAUGCGUAGAUAUUAGAAGGAACACCGAUAGCGUAGGCAGGUUACUGGGACGGUUCUGACACUAAGGCACGAAAGCGUAGGGAGCAAACGGGAUUAGAUACCCGUGUAGUC
Molecule: ribosomal RNA, 442 nt
Filed under: uncultured bacterium
Lineage: Bacteria
Description: partial 16S ribosomal RNA
Rfam family: Bacterial small subunit ribosomal RNA
Source: RNAcentral